GGGGAAUAUUGCACAAUGGGGGAAACCCUGAUGCAGCAAUGCCGCGUGUGUGAAGAAGGCCUGCGGGUUGUAAAGCACUUUUAUCAGGAAAGAACCUGCCUGGGACUAAUAAGCUCAGGCACUGACGGUACCUGAGGAAUAAGCACCGGCUAACUCCGUGCCAGCAGCCGCGGUAAUACGUAGGCACCAAGCGUUGUUCGGAAUUACUGGGCGUAAAGCGAGUGUAGGCGGUCUGCCAAGUCGGUUGUGAAAUCUCCCGGCUUAACUGGGAGGGUGCGACUGAAACUGGCAGGCUGGAGUGCGGGAGAGGAGAGUGGAAUUCCUGGUGUAGCGGUGAAAUGCGUAGAUAUCAGGAGGAACACCGGUGGUGAAGACGGCUCUCUGGACCGCUACUGACGCUGAGACUCGAAAGCGUGGGGAGCAA
RNAcentral lists this ribosomal RNA (424 nucleotides) under uncultured bacterium. RNAcentral describes it as "bacterial SSU rRNA". It matches the Rfam family "Bacterial small subunit ribosomal RNA", at positions 356 to 771 of the family's 1533-position model. The record is from RNAcentral.